CACGUAGGAGGCGAGCGUUGUCCGGAAUCAUUGGGCGUAAAGAGCGCGCAGGCGGCUUGGCAAGUCGGGUGUGAAAUCCCGGGGCUCAACCCCGGGACUGCAUUCGAUACUGUCAGGCUAGAGGUAGGUAGGGGAGAUCGGAAUUCCUGGUGUAGCGGUGAAAUGCGCAGAUAUCAGGAGGAACACCGGUGGCGAAGGCGGUUCUCUGGGCAUUACCUGACGCUGAGGAGCGAAAGUGUGGGGAGCGAACAGG
RNAcentral lists this ribosomal RNA (253 nucleotides) under uncultured bacterium. Its description in RNAcentral is "partial 16S ribosomal RNA". It matches the Rfam family "Bacterial small subunit ribosomal RNA", at positions 524 to 776 of the family's 1533-position model. The record is from RNAcentral.